RNAcentral lists this ribosomal RNA (301 nucleotides) under uncultured bacterium. RNAcentral's name for it is "partial 16S ribosomal RNA". It matches the Rfam family "Bacterial small subunit ribosomal RNA", at positions 509 to 807 of the family's 1533-position model. The record is from RNAcentral.
CAGUCGCCGCGGUAAUACGAAGGGUGCAAGCGUUAAUCGGAAUUACUGGGCGUAAAGCGUGCGUAGGCGGUGAGUUAAGUCUGCUGUGAAAUCCCCGGGCUCAACCUGGGAAUGGCAGUGGAUACUGGCUCGCUAGAGUGUGUCAGAGGAUGGUGGAAUUCCCGGUGUAGCGGUGAAAUGCGUAGAGAUCGGGAGGAACAUCAGUGGCGAAGGCGGCCAUCUGGGACAACACUGACGCUGAGGCACGAAAGCGUGGGGAGCAGACAGGAUUAGAGACCCGCGUAGUCCCUGUCUCUUAUAC